GACUGUACUGCAAACCGACACUGGUGCGCGAGAUGAGUAUUCUAAGGCGCUUGAGAGAACUCGGGAGAAGGAACUCGGCAAAUUGACACCGUAACUUCGGGAGAAGGUGUGCCUUUAGUAGGUGAAGGGAUUUACUCCUGGAGCCCAAUGAGGUUGCAAAAAAUCGGUGGCUGCGACUGUUUAUUAAAAACACAGCACUCUGCAAACACGAAAGUGGACGUAUAGGGUGUGACGCCUGCCCGGUGCUGGAAGAUUAAAUGAUGGGGUGCAAGCUCUUGAUUGAAGUCCCAGUAAACGGCGGCCGUAACAAUAACGGUCCUAAGGUAGCGAAAUUCCUUGUCGGGUAAGUUCCGACCUGCACGAAUGGCGUAACGAUGGCCACACUGUCUCCUCCCGAGACUCAGCGAAGUUGAAAUGUUUGUGAUGAUGCAAUCUCCCCGCGGAAAGACGGAAAGACCCCAUGAACCUUUACUGUAGCUUUGUAUUGGACUUUGAACAGAUCUGUGUAGGAUAGGUGGGAGGCUUUGAAGCAGGGUCGCUAGAUCUUGUGGAGCCAACGUUGAAAUACCACCCUGGUGUGUUUGAGGUUCUAACCUAGGUCCAUUAUCUGGAUCGGGGACAGUGCAUGGUAGGCAGUUUGACUGGGGCGGUCUCCUCCCAAAGCGUAACGGAGGAGUUCGAAGGUACGCUAGGUACGGUCGGACAUCUGCUAAUAGUGCAAUGGCAUAAGCGUGCUUAACUGCGAGACUGACAAGUCGAGCAGAUGCGAAAGCAGGACAUAGUGAUCCGGUGGUUCUGUAUGGAAGGGCCAUCGCUCAACGGAUAAAAGGUACUCUGGGGAUAACAGGCUGAUACCGCCCAAGAGUUCAUAUCGACGGCGGUGUUUGGCACCUCGAUGUCGGCUCAUCUCAUCCUGGGGCUGUAACCGGUCCCAAGGGUAUGGCUGUUCGCCAUUUAAAGAGGUACGUGAGCUGGGUUUAAAACGUCGUGAGACAGUUUGGUCCCUAUCUUCCGUGGGCGCUGCAGAUUUGAGGAAGCCUGCUCCUAGUACGAGAGGACCGGAGUGGACGCACCUCUGGUGUAUCGGUUGUCACGCCAGUGGCAUUGCCGAGUAGCUAUGUGCGGAAGAGAUAACCGCUGAAAGCAUCUAAGCGGGAAACUCGUUUCAAGAUGAGAUCUGCCGGGGCCUUGAGCCCCCUAAAGAGUCGUUCAAGACCAGGACGUUGAUAGGUCAGGUGUGGAAGCGCAGUAAUGCGUUAAGCUAACUGAUACUAAUUGCUCGUGCGGCUUGAC
RNAcentral lists this ribosomal RNA (1293 nucleotides) under metagenome. RNAcentral's name for it is "bacterial LSU rRNA". It matches the Rfam family "Bacterial large subunit ribosomal RNA", at positions 1640 to 2925 of the family's 2925-position model. The record is from RNAcentral.